GAUGAACGCUGGCGGCGUGCCUAAUACAUGCAAGUCGAGCGAACGGACGAGAAGCUUGCUUCUCUGAUGUUAGCGGCGGACGGGUGAGUAACACGUGGAUAACCUACCUAUAAGACUGGGAUAACUUCGGGAAACCGUAGCUAAUACCGUAUAAUAUUUUGAACCGCAUGGUUCAAAAGUGAAAGACGGUCUUGCUGUCUCUUAUCGAUGGAUCCGCGCUGCAUUAGCUAGUUGGUAAGGUAACGGCUUACCAAGGCAACGAUGCAUAGCCGACCUGAGAGGGUGAUCGGCCACACUGGAACUGAGACACGGUCCAGACUCCUAAGGGAGGCAGCAGUAGGGAAUCUUCCGCAAUGGGCGAAAGCCUGACGGAGCAACGCCGCGUGAGUGAUGAAGGUCUUCGGAUCGUAAAACUCUGUUAUUAGGGAAGAACAGAUGUGUAAGUAACUGUGCACAUCUUGACGGUACCUAAUCAGAAAGCCACGGCUAACUACGUG
This 497-nucleotide ribosomal RNA is filed under the name uncultured bacterium. RNAcentral's name for it is "partial 16S ribosomal RNA". It matches the Rfam family "Bacterial small subunit ribosomal RNA", at positions 28 to 507 of the family's 1533-position model. The record is from RNAcentral.